This 907-nucleotide long non-coding RNA is filed under the name Vigna radiata. Its description in RNAcentral is "long non-coding RNA (VRAD_LNC005993)". Lineage: Eukaryota; Viridiplantae; Streptophyta; Magnoliopsida; Fabales; Fabaceae. The record is from RNAcentral.
GUAACAAUCCUAUAAUCACCUUCAAUUAGAAUCCAGCAGUUUCCCCAGAUAUCACACGAAUAAAACUUCAUGUAACAAUUUCUCAAUGAGAUUAAGUGGCACAUGACAUUGAUAUAUGAACUACAACUUAACUAUUUUGGACAACCAUCAGAUCUCGUUCUAGUCAACCAUAUCAGUGUGUCUUUUGCUUCUCCUGUACCAUAGACAUAUAGAAGCAGAAACAAAAUUCAUUGGAAAACUGUGUGACUUGGUUCCAAGUUCCAUUGAUGUAAAAAUGACAACUCAUCCAUUGAUGUAACGAGUUCUUGCUAUCAGAAGCUAUUAUUGUCUAACUUACCUGAGAUAUUGCUUGAAUUUGAUUAAUCUCUGCUUCUUAUGCAUGCAAUUUUUCUUCCAACAUCAUGCAGAACUCAGUUGACAGGAUCAGGACAACAAAUAAAAAUUCAUAAUAAACAGAAAUGAUUCAAAAAAUAACAGUUAACAGGACCAGGACAGCAAAUGAAAGUCAUUAACAUAAAACAUUAAUCAUGUAAGUUUUACACUCUCCGUUGAUGUUGAAACUGUAAUCUUGGUGGGAGGAGGCAUGGACUCAAAAAGAAAAUACGUGGGAAAGCACACAACAAAUUUGGGGAGUUAGAGAGAGGUGAUAUUCACUUCAAAUAUUCUCUGCAAUAAUACUUAUAAGCAAGAAUUGGUCACUUAGAGAUAAUAAUGCCCAAUUUUAAAUUAUAAGCCUGUUUCAUUAGAUAAAAAUGGCCUGUGCUCAUGAGGUAUUGAAUUCUGAUCUCGCUCAUCCUUGUGCAGCUUUGUUGGAUAACAUCAGAAGGAUCAGAUCUCAUGAUUGGAAGACUUAAGAUUAAAAAUAGAGAGAAAAAUAAAUUUUAGAGAGGUUGAAAGACCCUUAUUA